Molecule: ribosomal RNA, 420 nt
Filed under: bacterium
Lineage: Bacteria
Description: partial 16S ribosomal RNA
Rfam family: Bacterial small subunit ribosomal RNA
Source: RNAcentral
UGGGGGAUAUUGCACAAUGGGCGAAAGCCUGAUGCAGCGACGCCGCGUGGGGGAUGAAGGCUUUCGGGUUGUAAACCUCUUUCGCUAUCGAACAAGGCCUGCUUAGGGUGGGUUGAGGGUAGGUGGAGAAGAAGCGCCGGCUAACUACGUGCCAGCAGCCGCGGUAAUACGUAGGGCGCGAGCGUUGUCCGGAAUUAUUGGGCGUAAAGGGCUUGUCGGCGGCUUGUUGCGCCUGCUGUGAAAACGCGGGGCUUAACUUCGCGCGUGCAGUGGAUACGGGCAGGCUUGAGUGUGGUAGGGGUGACUGGAAUUCCAGGUGUAGCGGUGGAAUGCGCAGAUAUCUGGAGGAACACCGAUGGCGAAGGCAGGUCACUGGGCCAUUACUGACGCUGAGGAGCGAAAGCAUGGGUAGCGAACAGG